AUGCAUGAUCAGGUCGUCCUAGACCUAGACGACUUCCCACUUGACCACGAGUUUCUGGAGGACUACGGGAAGGAGGAAGAGGACGAGUGCGACAUCAAAGGGGGGCCUUUGUUCGAGGGCGAGCUCGCCAACCAAGCCGCCAGGACGAAGCCGAAGCGCAAGAGCAAGCGGACCAAGGCAUACACGGCGGCCGAGGACAAGCUUCUUUGUGAGUGUUGGGGAGACAAUUGGCAAGACCCCAAGACGAUCGCCGAAAAAAAGGCAUCAACCUUUUGGAUUCGUGUCCACCGUGAGUUCCAUGAGCGCAUGAAGUUUCCACCGUACCAAAUAGUAAGCACGCGCGGGUGGGUGCUUGAACAGACUAGUUUUCAAAUACAUCCUCAACCAUAG
This 390-nucleotide ribosomal RNA is filed under the name Triticum aestivum (bread wheat). Its description in RNAcentral is "partial small subunit ribosomal RNA". Lineage: Eukaryota; Viridiplantae; Streptophyta; Magnoliopsida; Poales; Poaceae. The record is from RNAcentral.